CCUACGGGAGGCAGCAGUGAGGAAUAUUGGUCAAUGGACGAGAGUCUGAACCAGCCAAGUAGCGUGAAGGAUGACUGCCCUAUGGGUUGUAAACUUCUUUUAUAUGGGAAUAAAAUGUUCCACGUGUGGGAUUUUGUAUGUACCAUAUGAAUAAGGAUCGGCUAACUCCGUGCCAGCAGCCGCGGUAAUACGGAGGAUCCGAGCGUUAUCCGGAUUUAUUGGGUUUAAAGGGAGCGUAGGUGGAUUGUUAAGUCAGUUGUGAAAGUUUGCGGCUCAACCGUAAAAUUGCAGUUGAAACUGGCAGUCUUGAGUACAGUAGAGGUGGGCGGAAUUCGUGGUGUAGCGGUGAAAUGCUUAGAUAUCACGAAGAACUCCGAUUGCGAAGGCAGUUCACUGGACUGCAACUGACACUGAGGCUCGAAAGUGUGGGUAUCAAACAGUAUUAGAUACCCCUGUAGUC
RNAcentral lists this ribosomal RNA (460 nucleotides) under uncultured bacterium. RNAcentral describes it as "partial 16S ribosomal RNA". It matches the Rfam family "Bacterial small subunit ribosomal RNA", at positions 338 to 795 of the family's 1533-position model. The record is from RNAcentral.